CUUUGAACGCACCUUGCGCCCUUUGGCUAUUCCGAAGGGCAUGCCUGUUUGAGUAUCAUGAACACCUCAACUCUCAUGGUCCGCCAUGAUGAGCUUGGACUUUGGGGGUCUUGCUGGCAUAGCCGUCGGCUCCUCUCAAAUGAAUCAGCUUGCCAGUGUUUGGUGGCGUCACAGGUGUGAUAACUAUCUACGCUUGUGCUCUUCCAUCAGGUUACCUUCAGUAAUGGGGGUUCGCUGGAGCUCACAGACGUCUCUCCUCAGGGAGGACAGCUUUUUAAUGUUUGAUCUCAAAUCAGGUAGGACUACCCGCUGAACUUAAGCAUAUCAAUAAGCGGAGGAAAAGAAACUAACAAGGAUUCCCCUAGUAACUGCGAGUGAAGCGGGAAGAGCUCAAAUUUAAAAUCUGGCGUGCCUCUGGUCGUCCGAGUUGUAGUCUGGAGAAGCGUUUUCCGUGCUGGACCGU
RNAcentral lists this unclassified non-coding RNA (463 nucleotides) under uncultured Thelephoraceae. RNAcentral's name for it is "sequence contains ITS1, 5.8S rRNA gene, ITS2". The stretch from base 283 to 463 matches the Rfam family "Eukaryotic large subunit ribosomal RNA", at positions 1 to 178 of the family's 3401-position model. The record is from RNAcentral. Lineage: Eukaryota; Fungi; Basidiomycota; Agaricomycetes; Thelephorales; Thelephoraceae.